RNAcentral lists this ribosomal RNA (403 nucleotides) under bacterium. RNAcentral describes it as "partial 16S ribosomal RNA". It matches the Rfam family "Bacterial small subunit ribosomal RNA", at positions 355 to 776 of the family's 1533-position model. The record is from RNAcentral.
UGGGGAAUAUUGCACAAUGGGGGAAACCCUGAUGCAGCGACGCCGCGUGAACGAAGAAGGUAUUCGUAUCGUAAAGUUCUGUCCUAUGGGAAGAUAAUGACAGUACCAUAGAAGAAAGCUCCGGCUAAAUACGUGCCAGCAGCCGCGGUAAUACGUAUGGAGCGAGCGUUGUCUGGAAUUAUUGGGCGUAAAGGGUACGCAGGCGGUUUAAUAAGUCGAAUGUUAAAGAUCGGGGCUCAACCCCGUAAAGCAUUGGAAACUGAUAAACUUGAGUAGUGGAGAGGAAAGUGGAAUUCCUAGUGUAGUGGUGAAAUACGUAGAUAUUAGGAGGAAUACCAGUAGCGAAGGCGACUUUCUGGACACAAACUGACGCUGAGGUACGAAAGCGUGGGGAGCAAACAGG